UACUGAGAAAACCAAACCUAUCGUGAGAUAGGGACAGAAAGCCGCGGAUCUUUGUACGCAAAGACAGCCGGGUUACCUCA
Molecule: non-coding RNA, 80 nt
Filed under: Candidatus Vecturithrix granuli
Lineage: Bacteria; Candidatus Moduliflexota; Candidatus Vecturitrichia; Candidatus Vecturitrichales; Candidatus Vecturitrichaceae
Description: Bacterium UASB270 c-di-GMP sequence
Rfam family: c-di-GMP-I riboswitch aptamer
About the family: GEMM was predicted in a large-scale screen for bacterial structured RNA regulatory elements. Genes associated with GEMM are involved in a diverse array of functions, including chemotaxis regulation, signal transduction, secretion and chitin.
Source: Rfam by way of RNAcentral